CACACAGGGUUAUUGCGAAGAUGCUCAAGAGGAUUGUUGCCGUGAAGAAUGUGAUAAGGGCAAGCAAGUAAUGUCUUCAUCACGUGGACUAGAAAAUGAGUGUUCUGGAUCCAAAUUACAUGCUCCUACAAAGGUUUUUCAGAGUUUCAUGCCACCAAAUUAAUGUGGCACCAAGUGGAUGAAAACUACUAGCUCCUCUGGAGUUAUGUCCAUCAAUCAUCUAAAUGAGUCACAAUGCUGUGAAUGAGAGUCGAAUGAUACCCAUGACACACCCUUAUGAUCCUGCUCUAGAUCCUUCCUGGAAGUAAGUAGCCUUCAUCAUGCACCUUAAUUACUAACAUAAGUUAACACGAGGUAAAUUAAACUCCAAAAGAGUUCAAAUUUCAGCUCAUAUCU
Molecule: long non-coding RNA, 396 nt
Organism: Capsicum annuum
Lineage: Eukaryota; Viridiplantae; Streptophyta; Magnoliopsida; Solanales; Solanaceae
Exons: 3
Source: RefSeq, a predicted model, not a curated record